Carcharodon carcharias (great white shark) is the source of this 1435-nucleotide long non-coding RNA. RefSeq lists it as uncharacterized. NCBI's taxonomy places the organism in Eukaryota, Metazoa, Chordata, Chondrichthyes, Lamniformes, Lamnidae. The transcript has 4 exons. The record is from RefSeq and is a predicted model, not a curated record.
CAGGCAAUGACAGUGCCAGGACAGAUUGGGAAAAGAGUCAAUAAAGCAUACAGCAUCCUGGGCUUUACCAAUAAUUGCAAAGGGUACAAAAGCAGAUGUGUAUAUUCAAGUGCUCAGUCAACUGAUCUCCCUGAGGCCCUUCCAAUCUCACUCCGAUGCCUCUAAUCUCUUCCUACUUUCUUCUCCGCUGUGGUUGUGGCCUGAUACCGAAGGACUAUCGCCCUACAGCCAGCCUGCCUCUCAAAGAACAUACUAAGAACUGCUGACUGCUAAAAGAGACAGAAGACUUUUGCAGCUUUUUAAACUCAAGUUCAGAGUUGAAGAAAGAAAUCUGAAAAAGAACGCCUUCCCUUUGGCAGGCAUGCUACGACUGUUGUGGCUGUAAAAGGUGGACUUAAAAGAUUCAUGACACUAUUUGAAGAAGAGAUCUGUCCAUGGCCUGGCCAGCAUUUAUCCUUCAGCAAGUAUCACCACACAAUCUAUAUGGUCAUCUAUCUCAGUGUUGUUUGUGAGACUUUGCUGCAUGCAAAUUGUCUGCUGUAUUUCCCUAAACUGCAGCAGAAACUCUUUAGGACCUCCUGAGCACGUUCUUGGCAUCUCAUGAAUGCAACAAUCCUCUCAAAGGCACAUCUCCCAUGUAUGCUGGCACUUAUCAUGCAGACAUGACUUCGUUGGCUUGGGCACGUUUGCAAGAUGGAAGAUGGAUGCAUUCCUCAGGAUUUUCUGUAUGGUGUUUGGCCGGAGCCAGAAGGUCAGUCAGACGCCCAAAGAUCCACUUCGAGGAGGCUUGCAAGCAUGAUAUGAAGGCCCUAAACAUUGAUUUUCACACCUGGGAGAUACUGGUCAACCGGGAGAAAUAGCAACAUCACCUGUGGACCGGAGUACGCUGCCAUGAUGAUCACUGGUAACAGCAGCCUGACAACAGACGCCAAACUGAAAACAGCAACCAACAAUGACACCUGAUAACUACCUCAUAUGCAACAUCCCUGUAAUGGAUUUGUUUCUUCAGUCAUCAGCAGAAGUGCACCAUAUGAAACUAUUCCAUCCCCAGUGUAUUUGCUGCAUAUCCAUCAUCAUAGAUCAAAGGAUGCCAAUGAAUAUUCCUACCAAACAAAAUACCUAUCAAUCUCAGUUUUGAAGUUUUUGAUUUACAUUGCCUCGACAGCUUUUGGGGGUAGGAGCAAGAAUUCCAGAUUUUCACUGCACUUUGUGUGUAGAAAUGCUUUCUGACAUCACCAAUGAUCUGUUUAACUCUAAUUUUAAGGUGUUGUUCCUUGUUCUAGACUGUUUUCUUACUUUCUUACUCCAUCAAAUUCCUUAAUCGUUUUAUAUAGCUCAAUUAGAUCAUUCCUUAACAUAGUUCAUGGAGACUGAAAAUGAAUAAAGUGCAAAACACAUUCUCUAUAUUUUUGCGUAAAUAGUCCCCGAAGAAAAU